UUUAAUCUCUAUAUCUUGACUAAUAACCUGCACAUAGAACAGCAAAAACAUAUUCCAAAGAAAGUGAAGAAAAUUCUCUUAACAAAUUUAGCAAGUCAGAAAAAUGUUGAACUCAAAGUCAUAGCUCAGGAAAUCCUCAUCAAUCCAUUUUAGCUGUGAGGAGUAAAGACAAGUUAGAUUAAAUAGCUAUCAAUGAUACAAUCAACCAAACACAGUAGCUCUAGUAUGGUAAAAGAAUAUUGAAAUGGUCAAAUAAUAGUGAAUUUCCCAAAGAAUAGGAAACUUAAAUGACCAAUGCCUAUCUUAGCGCCAAGUAACCCAAGGGUCUUUUCUUGAAACUUAAUCUCUAACUUUUUCUUAACAUUUUAAUCAUUACAGUAAUGACCAUAAUGAUUUCAGUAUCAGUAUUUCAACUUGCACUUUUUCCCACACCUUUCUUCUUUUCUUUUAUGUCCCUCCUCAUACUGCCAAUGCCUCUCAUCCUUUUUUCAACAAGUUUAUACCUAUAAAUAUUGAAGUUCAAGAAAUGAACCCAAAAGGUUAAAGAUGAAAUAUACAAAUUUAUUACCAAGUAAAACUUACUCUAACACAAAAGUGUAAUCAAUCUAUAAAAUUAAUCAAUGAAAAGAAACUAAUGAUUCGUUAUUCAAAAGCCCAUCAAAAGAAGAUGACAUUUUCACACUACAAAAUAGUCUAUCUAGAUAGCCAAAUAAGGAAGCUGACAUGCUAUGGAGUUCCAAAUACGGAUGUGCACAAUAUUUGCUCAACCAAGUCACCUAGUUUAAGAUAUUCUCACCUGUCAAUUAAGUAGAACUUAUACUAUCAUUAAAACCCAAAAAAGGAAAAACAAUAAUAAAAGGUGAACAAACAACUAC
Molecule: long non-coding RNA, 875 nt
Filed under: Coffea arabica (coffee)
Lineage: Eukaryota; Viridiplantae; Streptophyta; Magnoliopsida; Gentianales; Rubiaceae
Description: long non-coding RNA (CARA_LNC002118)
Source: RNAcentral